UCUGAGCUAAAGAAGGUAAUACUAAUAGGAAACCUAUGCCCUUUGGCGGCCUUUCUUCUUAUUGGAGGAACUUGUCCAUUAAUCGAAAUUACCCGCUCGUUUUCUCUUUUUUCUAGUUUUUAUACCGUCGUCUUAAGAAUAUCGUUACACCCAUUAUUCUACUCUGAACAUUUAGGUAAGUCAGAUCAAGGUGAAGCUUAUAUAAAAGAUUAGGGUGAGUUAUACUUGAGUACUACUUUGGGCUUUUAUUUGAAAAGAUUUAUAAAUUAAGAUUCGACAGUACCUUAGUUCUAAAAAAUCUUAGGGAAGAAGUAAAGUAAGGUGU
This 325-nucleotide ribosomal RNA is filed under the name Aname exulans. RNAcentral's name for it is "partial small subunit ribosomal RNA". The record is from RNAcentral. Lineage: Eukaryota; Metazoa; Arthropoda; Arachnida; Araneae; Anamidae.